GAUGAACGCUAGCGGCAGGCCUAACACAUGCAAGUCGAGGGAGAGGUUACCUUCGGGUAACCAAAACCGGCGCACGGGUGCGUAACGCGUAUACAAUCUGCCUUUCACAUAGGGAUAGCCCGAAGAAAUUUGGAUUAAUACCUAAUGGUAUAUAAGAGCGGCAUCGUUUUUAUAUUAAAGCUACGGUGGUGAAAGAUGAGUAUGCGUUCUAUUAGCUAGUUGGAGAGGUAACGGCUCCCCAAGGCGACGAUAGAUAGGGGUUCUGAGAGGGAUGUCCCCCACACUGGUACUGAGAUACGGACCAGACUCCUACGGGAGGCAGCAGUGAGGAAUAUGGGACAAUGGUCGGAAGACUGAUCCAGCCAUGCCGCGUGCAGGAUGAAGGUCCUAUGGAUUGUAAACUGCUUUUGUAAGGGAAGAAUAAGGAGUACGUGUACUGUGAUGGCGGUACCUGACGAAUAAGCAUCGGCUAACUCCGUG
This 480-nucleotide ribosomal RNA is filed under the name uncultured bacterium. Its description in RNAcentral is "partial 16S ribosomal RNA". It matches the Rfam family "Bacterial small subunit ribosomal RNA", at positions 28 to 507 of the family's 1533-position model. The record is from RNAcentral.